GAUGAACGCUGGCGGCGUGCUUAACACAUGCAAGUCGAACGGGAAACCUUUUAAUGAAGCUUCGGCAGAUUUAGCUGGUUUCUAGUGGCGGACGGGUGAGUAACGCGUGGGUAACCUGCCUUAUACAGGGGGAUAACAGUCAGAAAUGACUGCUAAUACCGCAUAAGCGCACAGGACCGCAUGGUCCGGUGUGAAAAACUCCGGUGGUAUAAGAUGGACCCGCGUUGGAUUAGCUUGUUGGUGGGGUAACGGCUCACCAAGGCGACGAUCCAUAGCCGGCAUGAGAGGGUGAACGGCCACAUUGGGACUGAGACACGGCCCAGACUCCUACGGGAGGCAGCAGUGGGGAAUAUUGCACAAUGGGGGAAACCCUGAUGCAGCGACGCCGCGUGAAGGAAGAAGUAUCUCGGUAUGUAAACUUCUAUCAGCAGGGAAGAUAGUGACGGUACCUGAAUAAGAAGCCCCGGCUAACUACGUG
Molecule: ribosomal RNA, 478 nt
Filed under: uncultured bacterium
Lineage: Bacteria
Description: partial 16S ribosomal RNA
Rfam family: Bacterial small subunit ribosomal RNA
Source: RNAcentral